CCUACGGGAGGCAGCAGUAGGGAAUCUUUCACAAUGGGCGAAAGCCUGAUGGAGCAACGCCGCGUGCAGGAUGAAGGCCUUCGGGUUGUAAACUGCUUUUAUAAGCGAGAAAUAUGAUGGUAACUUAUGAAUAAGGAUCGGCUAAUUACGUGCCAGCAGCCGCGGUCAUACGUAGGAUCCGAGCAUUAUCCGGAGUGACUGGGUGUAAAGAGUUGCGUAGGUGGCAUAAUAAGUAGCUAGAGAAAUCUGGUGGCUCAACCAUUCAGACUGUUAGCUAAACUGUUAAGCUCGAGACCGUUAGAGGUAACUGGAAUUUCUAGUGUAGGAGUGAAAUCCGUAGAUAUUAGAAAGAACACCAAUAGCGUAGGCAGGUUGCUGGGACGAUUCUGACACUAAGGCACGAAAGCGUAGGGAGCAAACGGGAUUAGAUACCCUUGUAGUC
This 442-nucleotide ribosomal RNA is filed under the name uncultured bacterium. RNAcentral describes it as "partial 16S ribosomal RNA". It matches the Rfam family "Bacterial small subunit ribosomal RNA", at positions 338 to 795 of the family's 1533-position model. The record is from RNAcentral.